UACGUAGGCAGCAAGCGUUGUUCGGAGUUACUGGGCGUAAAGGGUGUGUAGGCGGUUCUUUAAGUUUGGUGUGAAAUCUCCCGGCUCAACUGGGAGGGUGCGCCGAAUACUGAGGGACUAGAGUACGGGAGAGGAAAGUGGAAUUCCAGGUGUAGCGGUGAAAUGCGUAGAUAUCUGGAGGAACACCGGUGGCGAAGGCGGCGUUCUGGACUGCAACUGACACUGAAAAACGAAAGCCAGGGGAGCAAACGGG
Molecule: ribosomal RNA, 253 nt
Filed under: uncultured bacterium
Lineage: Bacteria
Description: partial 16S ribosomal RNA
Rfam family: Bacterial small subunit ribosomal RNA
Source: RNAcentral